GACGAACGCUGGCGGCGUGCUUAACACAUGCAAGUCGAACGGUGAAGCUCCAGCUUGCUGGAGUGGAUCAGUGGCGAACGGGUGAGUAACACGUCAGCAACCUGCCCCAGACUCUGGAAUAAGCGCUGGAAACGGCGUCUAAUACUGGAUACGAGAUCAAGCCGCAUGGUUAUGGUCUGGAAAGUUUUUCGGUUUGGGAUGGGCUCGCGGCCUAUCAGCUUGUUGGUGAGGUAAUGGCUCACCAAGGCGACGACGGGUAGCCGGCCUGAGAGGGCGACCGGCCACACUGGGACUGAGACACGGCCCAGACUCCUACGGGAGGCAGCAGUGGGGAAUAUUGCACAAUGGGCGAAAGCCUGAUGCAGCGACGCCGCGUGAGGGAUGACGGCCUUCGGGUUGUAAACCUCUUUCAGCAGGGAAGAAGCGAAAGUGACGGUACCUGCAGAAGAAGCACCGGCUAACUACGUG
This 468-nucleotide ribosomal RNA is filed under the name uncultured bacterium. RNAcentral describes it as "partial 16S ribosomal RNA". It matches the Rfam family "Bacterial small subunit ribosomal RNA", at positions 28 to 507 of the family's 1533-position model. The record is from RNAcentral.